RNAcentral lists this unclassified non-coding RNA (311 nucleotides) under fungal sp. Its description in RNAcentral is "partial internal transcribed spacer region". The stretch from base 1 to 46 matches the Rfam family "Eukaryotic small subunit ribosomal RNA", at positions 1786 to 1831 of the family's 1831-position model. The record is from RNAcentral. Lineage: Eukaryota; Fungi.
AAGUCGUAACAAGGUUUCCGUAGGUGAACCUGCGGAAGGAUCAUUACUAAAAUUCCAAGUAUGGAAAUUUUAAAAAAAAUCCAUAUAAACCCUUUUGUGCAUUAUUUGACAGACUUCCUCCGAAAUAUUAGAAAUGAAAUUUUCUUAAUUUUAUUAUUAAGAAAAUUUUUAUUUUGUUUUGGGGGGAUAUUUUUAUUAUAUAAACCAUUUUAAUUAAUUAUUGUCUGAAGUCAUUUUUUAAUAUUAUUUUUUAAUAAUAUAUAAAUAAAAAUAAAUAAAAAUAACUUUUAACAACGGAUCUCUUGGCUCUC